This is a long non-coding RNA of Beta vulgaris subsp. vulgaris (sugar beet), 2023 nucleotides long. RefSeq lists it as uncharacterized. NCBI's taxonomy places the organism in Eukaryota, Viridiplantae, Streptophyta, Magnoliopsida, Caryophyllales, Amaranthaceae. The transcript is spliced from 2 exons. The record is from RefSeq and is a predicted model, not a curated record.
UCUGAACCAGCUAUGGGUAUGGAAAUUAUAACAUUAUACUCCAUUUCUAUUAUAAGGAAUUUUAGCCUAAUAAAAUUUUUAUUAAACUGUCAGGGAUUCCGUAAUACCAAUGUAAUAUUAAAAAUCACUCAUAGUAUCAAGGUAAGAUUAUAGGUUCUUUUAUAUUAUCAUUAUAUAAAACAAUAUUUGUUGUCAUUUCUUAUUACUGAUGUAACUUGAACUAAAGUAAGUAAUUCUUAAUAUGCUUAAAAGUCGCUAACAAAAGUAAGUUGAAAUUCUCAAAUUAGGUCUAUGGAUAGAGAGUUGUUCGAGGUAGCCAACUAUUUUUAAUUUAUGUAUUCUGCAAAUAGCCUCUUGACCAGUCUAGGCAUUCACGGUCAAAUCUCUAACUUGAUCGUCGGAGGGGGUUUCCAGGUAUCCCCCGAGGGUAAUUUAUAUUUGCUUCCUUGCAGCUAUUCCUUAUUUCCUUAGCGGUCCCCCACUCCACCCUCGGCGGACUUAGUUUGAAGACUGCCACCUAUUUCACUACCAGAACAUUAAGUAUAUCUAGAAAACAUUAGUUUUUUCAUGAGAAGAAAAACUAAUUAGUGUGAUUGUUUGUCAGCAAUUCCAUGACAUGUCUCUUGUUGCUUCUAUUUUGAUAAUACCAAACAAACUUUUAUCAUCAUAAAGCAUUAUCAGGUGAUAAAAUAAGAAAAUGUGUGAUAUUGUUUUACACUCCUUCAUUAGUGUCAUAGUGUGGCAAUCAGCAUCCUGAUAUUAUAAAAUUGUAAAUUCUGCUUGAUUGCAUGCAUGGUUGCAUCCUGUGUCACAAACACUUUUCUAGUUUCCACCUAGAUAUGACUGUAUCCCCUGAGGGAGAUAUGUGAAAAGAUAAUAAAGUACUUUUCGAGUAGGAUUUCUCAAAUGACUGAUCAUGAGCAUUACCACUAUACUAGGGUUCUAUGUUACUUGGACUUGAGUACUCAUGUCAGACACGCGUAUGUGUCAAAGUAUCCAACUUGCCGAUCAUAUGAAAACUUUCUAUAUUUUGACCGAGAAUGAAGUGUCAACGUGAUCAUAUCCAUGUCGGAGUGUUAGGAUUUGACAUGGGUACAUGACAUAAAUAAAGAGUCCGGUUAACAUAGCUAGGCUCAUUGUAGAGGGGAUCUCAUACUUAGGCUCUAUGCUCCGCACCUCAUAUUCACUUAUCUCAAGGUAAUAAGUUCAGAUUGAUUUAGAAAAGUUUAAAUGAGUUCAGAUACGGGCUGAUAAGUUCAGAUAGAGGCUAUUAAGUUCAGAUUAUGGUUAAAGUAAGAUCCAAUAAGUUCAGAUGAGUUACUAUAAGUUCAAGUAAGUCAAACAUAAAUUCAAACAAUUGAAAUUUAAUGAAGAGAACGCACCCUUAAUCACCAGACUAAGAUCUCAUUGGUUAUUGUUAUCUUUUGUCGUUCCGAUGAAAAAAAUUAAGUACAUCAGACUUAGGAAAUGCUGAAAUGAUAAGUGAGGUAACUGAUGUAUGAUGUCAGAAUAUUCUUGAACUGAUAGACUGAUAGAUGUCAAUUUGUAAUUUGACAGGGGCAGCCAAUCUGACAAGACAGACAGCACGGCUAGAUUCUUGGAAGAAUCACUGAUGUUGGAAUUUGACUAUCUGAUGGAGUGAAAUCUGAAGAACAACACGAAACGGAGAGUCAUGGCAAGUGCAAGAGGAGUGAGAUAUGCAGAAGUAGAGAAGCGGCUGCCUUGGAGUCAUUAAAGCUUCAAAACUAGCAAUUUCAAGGUUUUAGUACUUCUUAUUUGAUUAUUGAAGAUGUUCUUGCUUUAGUUUCUAGUUUUGAUUGUAUUAAAUGGUUGUUUACUAGGAGAAUCGGGAAUAAGGUUGCUCAUUCUUUGGCUCCAUCUCCAACUUGUGAAAUUUGGCCAACGAGUAUGAGAGUUUGACUUUCCUACUUUCAUUGUAGAUAUUGCUUGUGCUCAUAUAUCGAUUUAAUCCUUUGACGAACUUCACUCAAGGAAAAAGAAACAAAGGAAUACCUUUUUAUAA